AACACAUUUCAGUCCAGUGAAAUUCUUCACUUCAUUUCUUCCUGGUAGGUCUCCAAAGCCAGGUUGUCUCCAAAUUCACGGGUGGGUAGAGGGAAGCUCCAGGCUUUGGCCCUGCUGGAUGGAUCGAUCCUUACCCACCGUCACCACCACCCAGCCCGAUCUCCUUGUCUCCACAGCCAGGCUGAACCUGAAUGAGGUAGAAAACCAGUGGCGUUUAAACCAGCUCAACAAUGCUGCCACCACCUUGGUCUUCAUAACUGUGGUCAUCAACAUUUUUAUCACUGCUUUUGGGGCACACAAGACAGGUUCCGUGGCUGCCAGGACCUCCAGCAAUCCUAUUUAAUGUCCACCUAGGUCCCAGGAGCUGGGUCUAAAGCCACUUCAGCCUUUGUUUCUGACCUGUCAGGCUAACUAGCACUUCCAACAGCCUCCUGGAGAGCUUCGGGGACAAUGGAGAUGCCCCUGCCUCUCACCCACAGCACCAGAGUUAAGGUUCGCCCCUUUACUGGGUGACAUAAUUGCAUCUUGGUCUGGAGGCCUGAGCUUCUUCCACCAACAGUAACUCCGUCUGCUGAGGCAGCAUCCGGGCACUCUGGUUGCACUGCACUCCUUCCCUCCAUAUUCCCUUUCUGCAAAAUGGAAUCUAUCUAUAAAGGUAUCUGAAAAUCC
RNAcentral lists this long non-coding RNA (669 nucleotides) under Rattus norvegicus (Norway rat). RNAcentral describes it as "long non-coding RNA NONRATT020857". Lineage: Eukaryota; Metazoa; Chordata; Mammalia; Rodentia; Muridae. The record is from RNAcentral.